UUUCUUUUGGCUCUGUCCAUCAGAAACAAGCUGGGUUUCAUCAAUGGAAACAUUCCAAAACCUAAAAUCACAUAUACACUAUACCCUCCUUGGAUUAGAUGUAACAAUCUUAUAGUAGCAUGGCUACUUGAUUUUAUUAGCCCUCCCAUAGCAUCAAUCGUGUUUUACAUGAAUUCUGCAAUGGAGAUCUGGAACACCCUAAAACAUAGCUUUUCUCAGCCAAACGAUACAAGAACAUGUAAUUUGUUAUGCACACUUGGGAAUAUCAGUUAGGGAACACAUUUAGUGGACACUUACUUUGUUGAACUUAAGGGUAUCUGGGAAGAGUUGAGAAACUACAGACCCCUGUCACACUGCGUAUAUGAGAAGUGCAACUCAGAAUGCUUCAAAAAAUAUAUAGACUAGUAUCAAAAGGAUA
RNAcentral lists this long non-coding RNA (418 nucleotides) under Theobroma cacao (cacao). RNAcentral's name for it is "long non-coding RNA (TCAC_LNC002859)". The record is from RNAcentral. Lineage: Eukaryota; Viridiplantae; Streptophyta; Magnoliopsida; Malvales; Malvaceae.